GGCCCAGCUUUCUCCUUCGCGCAGGUGGGCGUUUUCCUCCUCGCGGUGCUCCCGUUUGUCCUCGCGCGGGUUGGCAUGGU
Non-coding RNA from Plasmodium vivax (malaria parasite P. vivax), 80 nucleotides. The record is from the annotation of a RefSeq genome assembly. NCBI's taxonomy places the organism in Eukaryota, Apicomplexa, Aconoidasida, Haemosporida, Plasmodiidae.